GAUGAACGCUGGCGGCGUGCCUAAUACAUGCAAGUCGAGCGAACAGACGAGGAGCUUGCUCCUCUGACGUUAGCGGCGGACGGGUGAGUAACACGUGGAUAACCUACCUAUAAGACUGGGAUAAAUUCGGGAAACCGGAGCUAAUACCGGAUAAUAUAUUGAACCGCAUGGUUCAAUAGUGAAAGACGGUUUUGCUGUCACUUAUAGAUGGAUCAGCGCCGCAUUAGGUGAUUGGUAAGGUAACGGCUUGCCAAGGCAGCGAUGCGUAGCCGACCUGGGGGGGGGAUGCGCCACACUGGAACUGAGACACGGUACAGACUCCGACGGGAGGCAGCGGUAGGGAAGCUUCCGAAAUGGGCGAAAGCCUGACGGAGCAACGCCGCGUGAGUGCUGAAGGUCUUCGGAUCGUAAAACUCUGUUAUUAGGGAAGAACAAAUGUGUAAGUAACUAUGCACGUCUUGACGGUACCUAAUCAGAAAGCCACGGCUAACUACGUG
Molecule: ribosomal RNA, 497 nt
Filed under: uncultured bacterium
Lineage: Bacteria
Description: partial 16S ribosomal RNA
Rfam family: Bacterial small subunit ribosomal RNA
Source: RNAcentral